RNAcentral lists this ribosomal RNA (497 nucleotides) under uncultured bacterium. Its description in RNAcentral is "partial 16S ribosomal RNA". It matches the Rfam family "Bacterial small subunit ribosomal RNA", at positions 28 to 507 of the family's 1533-position model. The record is from RNAcentral.
GAUGAACGCUGGCGGCGUGCCUAAUACAUGCAAGUCGAGCGAACAGACGAGGAGCUUGCUCCUCUAACGUUAGCGGCGGACGGGUGAGUAACACGUGGAUAACCUACUUAUAAGACUGGGAUAACUUCGGGAAACCGGAGCUAAUAACGGAUCAUAUAUUGAACCGCAUGGUUCAAUAGUGAAAGACGGUUUUGCUGUCACUUAUAGAUGGAUCCGCGCCGCAUUAGCUAGUUGGUAAGGUAACAGCUUACCAAGGCAACGAUGCGUAGCCGACCUGAGAGGGUGAACGGCCACACUGGAACUGAAACACGGUCCAGACUCCUACGGGAAGCAGCAGUAGGGAAUCUUCCGCAAUGGGCGAAAGCCUGACGGAGCAACGCCGCGUGGGUGAUGAAGGUCUUCGGAUCUUAAAACUCUGUUAUUAGGGAAGAACAAAUGUGUAAGUAACAAUGCACUUCUUGACGGUACCUAAUCAGAAAGCCACGGCUAACUACGUG